Mauremys reevesii (Reeves's turtle) is the source of this 637-nucleotide long non-coding RNA. RefSeq lists it as uncharacterized. The transcript has 6 exons. Lineage: Eukaryota; Metazoa; Chordata; Testudines; Geoemydidae. The record is from RefSeq and is a predicted model, not a curated record.
CACCUAUUACUUCCUCUCAUCUUUCUCUUACAUCAUCACUAUGCUUCCUGCACAUACCCUGUUCCUGUACUCCCAGACCAGCGUGGUUGGCUGAAAAUGGAAUUGAUGAGCUGGGAGGAAACAGCUGCUUUGGAGAAAUGCCACGUUCCAGAUAUGGGGCUCAGUGAGCUGAUUGUGUAGAGGCUGAGGAUGAAGACUGACUCCCCACCCCCAUGAAAUGAUCGGGGCUGAAGUGGAAAAAUGAAGUACUGUAACUGAAUCUUGAAAAUGGUCUGUAAUGAAACAUCUUGGACCUGAGCCCCAAGGACAGUAGGGUGAAGUUGGGAAGCCAGGAAGUCCAUGUUGCAACAUGAGGAAGUUGGGGGCAAGAACUCUGAAGACAAGAUUGGCUGGUUUCGCUUCUCCCUCCUCACCCUGGAUCCCUUAUAGGAAUCACAGAUGGAUGAUUUGAGAUGAGCCUUAAAGGAAAGGAAGAUGUAUCUUUCUCUCCACCAGCAUCAACUGUAAGAGAGAAUUUGGGGCCUGAAGAUUAAAAGAUUUGUCCCAUCUCCAAUCUGCAUUACAAAGACUCUUUGAAGUUAUGUCCAGGGAAGGGUAUACUAAAAACAGGAUAAAUAAUAAAACUAGAUUGAAUGGA